This 490-nucleotide ribosomal RNA is filed under the name uncultured bacterium. RNAcentral describes it as "partial 16S ribosomal RNA". It matches the Rfam family "Bacterial small subunit ribosomal RNA", at positions 30 to 507 of the family's 1533-position model. The record is from RNAcentral.
AUUGAACGCUGGCGGCAUGCUUUACACAUGCAAGUCGGACGGCAGCACAGAGAAGCUUGCUUCUUGGGUGGCGAGUGGCGAACGGGUGAGUAAUAUAUCGGAACGUACCGAGUAAUGGGGGAUAACUAAUCGAAAGAUUAGCUAAUACCGCAUAUUCUCUGAGGAGGAAAGCAGGGGACCUUCGGGCCUUGCGUUAUUCGAGCGGCCGAUAUCUGAUUAGCUAGUUGGUGGGGUAAAGGCCUACCAAGGCGACGAUCAGUAGCGGGUCUGAGAGGAUGAUCCGCCACACUGGGACUGAGACACGGCCCAGACUCCUACGGGAGGCAGCAGUGGGGAAUUUUGGACAAUGGGCGCAAGCCUGAUCCAGACAUGCCGCGUGUCUGAAGAAGGCCUUCGGGUUGUAAAGGACUUUUGUCAGGGAAGAAAAGGCUGUUGCUAAUACCGACAGCUGAUGACGGUACCUGAAGAAUAAGCACCGGCUAACUACGUG